This 455-nucleotide ribosomal RNA is filed under the name uncultured bacterium. RNAcentral's name for it is "SSU rRNA". It matches the Rfam family "Bacterial small subunit ribosomal RNA", at positions 26 to 518 of the family's 1533-position model. The record is from RNAcentral.
AGAACGAACGCUGGCGGCAUGCCUAACACAUGCAAGUCGAACGUGAUCCAGGCUUCGGCCUGGUGAAAGUGGCAGACGGGUGAGUAACGCGUGGGAACCUGCCCUGUGGUAGGGAAUAACCGUGGGAAACUGCGGCUAAUACCCUAUGAGUCCUUCGGGAGAAAGAUUUAUCGCCAUAGGAGGGGCCCGCGUCGGAUUAGGUAGUUGGUGGGGUAACGGCCUACCAAGCCUUCGAUCCGUAGCUGGUCUGAGAGGAUGAUCAGCCACACUGGGACUGAGAUACGGCCCAGACUCCUACGGGAGGCAGCAGUGGGGAAUAUUGGACAAUGGGGGCAACCCUGAUCCAGCAAUGCCGCGUGGAUGAUGAAGGCCUUCGGGUUGUAAAGUCCGUUUCGGCGGGGAAGAUGAUGACGGUACCGCAGAAGAAGCCCGGCUAACUUCGCGCCAGCAGCCGC